AGUGAACGCUGGCGGCAGGCCUAACACAUGCAAGUCGAACGGCAGCACAGUAAGAGCUUGCUCUUACGGGUGGCGAGUGGCGGACGGGUGAGGAAUACAUCGGAAUCUACUUUUACGUGGGGGAUAACGUAGGGAAACUUACGCUAAUACCGCAUACGACCUACGGGUGAAAGCAGGGGAUCUUCGGACCUUGCGCGAUUGAAUGAGCCGAUGUCGGAUUAGCUAGUUGGCGGGGUAAAGGCCCACCAAGGCGACGAUCCGUAGCUGGUCUGAGAGGAUGAUCAGCCACACUGGAACUGAGACACGGUCCAGACUCCUACGGGAGGCAGCAGUGGGGAAUAUUGGACAAUGGGCGCAAGCCUGAUCCAGCCAUACCGCGUGGGUGAAGAAGGCCUUCGGGUUGUAAAGCCCUUUUGUUGGGAAAGAAAAGCAGCAGGUUAAUACCCCGCUGUUCUGACGGUACCCAAAGAAUAAGCACCGGCUAACUUCGUG
This 492-nucleotide ribosomal RNA is filed under the name uncultured bacterium. RNAcentral's name for it is "partial 16S ribosomal RNA". It matches the Rfam family "Bacterial small subunit ribosomal RNA", at positions 29 to 507 of the family's 1533-position model. The record is from RNAcentral.